GACGAACGCUGGCGGCGUGCCUAACACAUGCAAGUCGAACGGAACUGUUUUGAAAGAUUUCUUCGGAAUGAAUUUGAUUUAGUUUAGUGGCGGACGGGUGAGUAACGCGUGAGUAACCUGCCUUCAAGAGGGGAAUAACAUUCUGAAAAGAAUGCUAAUACCGCAUGACAUAUCGGAACCACAUGGUUUUGCUAUCAAAGAUUUUAUCGCUUGAAGAUGGACUCGCGUCCGAUUAGUUAGUUGGUGAGGUAACGGCUCACCAAGACCGCGAUCGGUAGCCGGACUGAGAGGUUGCACGGCCACAUUGGGACUGAGACACGGCCCAGACUCCUACGGGAGGCAGCAGUGGGGGAUAUUGCGCAAUGGGGGCAACUCUGACGCAGCAACGCCGCGUGAAGGAUGAAGGUUUUCGGAUUGUAAACUUCUUUUAUUAAGGACGAAAAAUGACGGUACUUAAUGAAUAAGCUCCGGCUAACUACGUG
RNAcentral lists this ribosomal RNA (482 nucleotides) under uncultured bacterium. RNAcentral describes it as "partial 16S ribosomal RNA". It matches the Rfam family "Bacterial small subunit ribosomal RNA", at positions 28 to 507 of the family's 1533-position model. The record is from RNAcentral.